This 172-nucleotide unclassified non-coding RNA is filed under the name Geoglossum cookeanum. RNAcentral describes it as "partial internal transcribed spacer 2". Lineage: Eukaryota; Fungi; Ascomycota; Geoglossomycetes; Geoglossales; Geoglossaceae. The record is from RNAcentral.
UCAAAUCUCAAGCCUUGCUUGGUAUUGGGUUUUCGUCUCCUACCUUUGUAUAUUAUACAAUAUACAGGUAGUGGCGUGCCUGAAAAUCAUUAGCGGUGCCUCAAUGGACUCAAGUGUAGCAGACUGACUCACUUUGGAGGACUUUUGCAGGCACUGUCGACAAAAUAAUAAA